Mastomys coucha (southern multimammate mouse) is the source of this 352-nucleotide long non-coding RNA. RefSeq lists it as uncharacterized. Lineage: Eukaryota; Metazoa; Chordata; Mammalia; Rodentia; Muridae. The record is from RefSeq and is a predicted model, not a curated record. The transcript is spliced from 2 exons.
ACGUCACAAUUAACUGUUGAGGUAUGAAGCAUUUUCUGUUAUGAAGGUGAAGGACUAUAUUAAGAGCCAAGAAAUGCUAUUCACAAUUUCGGCCCUUUUGAUGCGAAUGAAGGUAUGGCCUGCUGUUUCCAUGCAGAAUCCCGAAGUGACAGACAACGGAACAGAGACAAGAAAGGUGAGGGCCCCAGCUUAGGACUUUCAGUGUCAGCAAGAAGGCUCGGGAGCCCUGAAGCUUGCUUGUGACUCCAUGAUGGAUCAGCAGACCGUAAGCAAGUUAAUCUCCAAGCAAUAGACUAAAUCCAAUGGACCUGCUCUAGCCGUCCUAACGAUCAAAUAAAGUUCCUACUACCCA